AUCAUUCGAUUUGUGAUCCUUUUUUGUUAAGCAAGAUCGGAUGACGUAAAUAUUCUCUUAAAAUAGAUAAAAAUAUCAGAAAAUAUUUUAUCAUACGAUAAAUUCGUUUUAUCGAUAAUAUUCAUGAAUUUUUCAAACACGUUGUUUAAAUCAAUUCUGUUGAUGGCGCAAUGUGGUAUCAUAACGGAGGUCUAUUUUAAUUACCGUUAAUGAGUGUUCCCGUCAUUAAAAUAUAUUUUCUAUACUAGUAUAUAUUCAAAACGGUUGAAUAUGCGAAGUGACAAUCAUAAAGAAGAGUUUUAUUGAUCGUAAAGGUAUAUUGGUUAUAUUUUAUGCAGUUUGGACCGAGGAAGUUGAAAUGGAACUCGUCUUUCUAGCGAUCGUUUCAUGCCAACACGCUUAGGAACCAUCGUAUUACAAUAGCACAUGUAGUUGACAAACAUGGGAGCGGCAUAUUGGGUCGAUGGCAAAAAGAAUAAAAAAAAAAAAAGGAGGAAGGACAUAGAAGCUGGGAUAUAGCGAGAAAACGGAUAUAUAUUACUGACUCGACCUUUCUACCUUGUCUACAUGUAUUUCACUCGCUUUAUAUCUAGGGUAAACGAGAAUUUAACGAGUCUGAAGAGAAUGUUAAGGUUAUGAUCAUGCAUAGUAAAAAUUUGUUAAGGUUAUGAUCAUGCAUAGUAAAAGUAAAAAUUUUAAGGAAAACUGUGCUCUACAAAAGACAUCUGCUAUAUAGGGUUAUGUUUAAUCGAUAUGAACAAUCGAAGAAGGAGAGGCUAGGAGGGAAAUUAUUCUGGACGUUCUUCGCUUUUGCAUAAUUUCAUGGUUCCUGACCUCGCAACCGACCAAGCGAAAACUAAUAACGAUGCUCUGCAUGAAGAACGGGGAACGACCUGCGCGCGGAUUCGGGCGCGGUCAAUGCCGUCUAGAUGCUUGCUAUUACUAUCCGGACCGUCUGAUAUUUUCGUCAUGGCCUACUAAUACACUCCGCAAAUUCUCGCCCUACCACGGGGGUCACUGUUCGAGGAUGACGUGGUCAAGGAAAUAUGCCGAUCGUGAGUAGUGUCACUGACCGUGAUGGCGAAUUUCUUCACUUUUUAUUCUUUGAAAACGAGCCAACCGAGAGACUGUUGCAUUCUCGGUCCCCUGCUAUAGAUUCCGGAGAUAUGCUCGGAGAGAAGAAUCUAUACUAUCAGUUUUGAACAAUCGGUUGUUGAUUCGUGAACACGUUCUUCAAUGUUUACUUAGAUGGAACUUCGAAUUUUCUAAGUUGAGAUGAAGAAAGCAGCGUAUACUUGCGAUGCGUUUAACGGGUAACCGGGUACAUAAUGGUCGUGGCUAAAUAUUCAAACAGUUUGGCCUUCCAUAUAUUCAUGACCGUCAUCUUCGUGAAGAAAAAGAAAAGGUAGAUGGAUUUGCAUUUGAAUGAUGGAACGAUUUGUGGGACAAGAAGUUUUUUCAAUAUACUGCUUUCCGGUAGUAUACGUGUUGACCAUCGACUCUGGCCGCCAUUUUUAGGAAAAUUGCUUUUAACGUGUUUCACGGCAUAAAGGUGCGGUCACGAUUUAUUCAAAAUUACGUUGUCUGUAGUUGGAAAUCAUCCUUUAUUAUGAAAUACUAUUAGCAUAUAGUAUUGAGAACGUAAUGAAAUUAAGUGUUUACGUCAUCUUCUUACUUUUAGGAUUAUGUACAAAAAAACAUACAAAAAAUUAAAAUUUAUAGUACUUUUUUUUACUUCAAAAAAGUAUUAUCUAUAUCUAGCGGGUUAAGAGAUAACGGUUCUAAAGUUAAUUUUUUAUUUCAUAAUGAAAAAUUCGUUUUCCAUUCGCAUCUCAUCACAACUAUCGACAUAGUCCUGACAUGAUGCAAUAUGAACUAUGUGUACCCAUUUCUCCACGCAUCGAGACAUUAUCUGUUCAACUCAUUAUCGAUAGAAUGCCACUUUCGCCCUAUUUCAUAAGACCAGGCAUCAUUAGUUUUAAGCGCGAUAAAAUUUUUUGAAUUUGGGACAUGAAAAAACACAGGGUCAUUAGGUCGUUCUGCAUCGAUAAGAUAUUACCAACAUGGAAUAUAAGUGCACUGGUUACAUAAAUGGUACAACGGUGAACGGGAUGAGAUUUUCAUUCCAACGACAAGUUAUAUUACACGGAGUAGACGAUGUAAAUCAUUGUUGUAAUGGAUCGAACGUUCCAUUAUCACGCAAUCGAGAUAAGAAUUCUGUCGCAAUCACUCGUGUUCAUGAUACAUAUUGAUUAAUUAAGUGAUCAUUAUUACAUUACUUUUACUUGCGACUACUUUUCCGUUUCUUCAAAAUACCAUAUAAUAUUUACAACGGGAGUUUAUAAGGUAAAAAAAGAUACGUAAAUGGCCUGUAACGCGAAGCGUUAUCAUCCUUGAACUCGGUGACGAAGCAUUUUGUGCUAACGUGUCGUAAAAUACAGCGAUACGAGUGUAUUAACUACUUUACGUUACUUUCUAUGAAUAGCGAGUUAAUUGAAUAGUUACAAUACUUAAUGAUGAAUUCGUAUAUUUCUUGUGAAAUGUAUCGUUCAAAUUGCACUCGAUUAUGUACAUCAAAUAUAAUCAUUAUCUUUCG
Molecule: long non-coding RNA, 2596 nt
Organism: Apis laboriosa (Himalayan honeybee)
Lineage: Eukaryota; Metazoa; Arthropoda; Insecta; Hymenoptera; Apidae
Exons: 4
Source: RefSeq, a predicted model, not a curated record